UACGUAGGGGGCAAGCGUUGUCCGGAUUUAUUGGGCGUAAAGAGCGUGUAGGCGGUUUGGUAGGUCCGCUGUGAAAACUCGAGGCUCAACCUCGAGACGCCGGUGGAAACCAUCAGACUAGAGUCCGGAAGAGGAGAGUGGAAUUCCUGGUGUAGCGGUGAAAUGCGCAGAUAUCAGGAAGAACACCGGUGGCGAAGGCGGAUCUCUGGGCCGAUACUGACGCUGAGGAGCGAAAGCGUGGGGAGCGAACAGG
This 253-nucleotide ribosomal RNA is filed under the name uncultured bacterium. RNAcentral's name for it is "partial 16S ribosomal RNA". It matches the Rfam family "Bacterial small subunit ribosomal RNA", at positions 524 to 776 of the family's 1533-position model. The record is from RNAcentral.